Tachyglossus aculeatus (Australian echidna) is the source of this 138-nucleotide small nucleolar RNA. NCBI's taxonomy places the organism in Eukaryota, Metazoa, Chordata, Mammalia, Monotremata, Tachyglossidae. The record is from RefSeq and is a predicted model, not a curated record.
CCUCUCUCAGGGUCACACCUGGAGAGUUUUCAGUACUCUACCAGUCUCGACUAUGGGAGGGAGAGUCAUGCAGAGGCCUACCCAUUCCAUUCCUAGUUUGGGCAGUGGCUGGAGUGUGGAAGCCAUUCUGCUACAAGU